AGCUUUGCGCAGUGGCAGUAUCGUAGCCAAUGAGGUUUAUCCGAGGCGCGAUUAUUGCUAAUUGAAACUAAAAAAAUAAAGUAUAUUAAUAAAUCAAAAUUUUAAAGACAUUCAAGGAUC
Molecule: small nuclear RNA, 120 nt
Filed under: Spermophilus dauricus (Daurian ground squirrel)
Lineage: Eukaryota; Metazoa; Chordata; Mammalia; Rodentia; Sciuridae
Description: U4 spliceosomal RNA (ENSSDAG00000008279.1)
Rfam family: U4 spliceosomal RNA
About the family: U4 small nuclear RNA (U4 snRNA) is a component of the major U2-dependent spliceosome.
Source: Rfam by way of RNAcentral